UACGGAGGGUGCAAGCGUUAAUCGGAAUUACUGGGCGUAAAGCGCGCGUAGGCGGUUAAAUAAGUCAGAUGUGAAAUCCCUGGGCUCAACCUAGGAACUGCAUUUGAAACUGUUUAACUAGAGUAUGGUAGAGGUGAGUGGAAUUUCAGGUGUAGCGGUGAAAUGCGUAGAGAUCUGAAGGAACAUCAGUGGCGAAGGCGACUCACUGGGCCAUUACUGACGCUGAGGUGCGAAAGCGUGGGUAGCAAACAGG
This 253-nucleotide ribosomal RNA is filed under the name uncultured bacterium. Its description in RNAcentral is "partial 16S ribosomal RNA". It matches the Rfam family "Bacterial small subunit ribosomal RNA", at positions 524 to 776 of the family's 1533-position model. The record is from RNAcentral.